GUCAGGCUCAAGCCUUUUCUGCUGUGCUGGAAGGUCAGGAGGUGUCCUUAACAGAAAGAAGAGACUAAACUCCUCUCUGCCCUGCACUCUUUCAGGGAGAGCUCUUCCCUAAAGCCCCGAGUGUGACCUGAAUACAAGAGAAACACGGACUUCAGGAUUUGGUGCUUGCAGGGCUGCUCCCAAGCUCUUGUCUGACCUGAGUGUGUUUGCCUCUGCACGCUGCUUGUAGGACCAAGCCCUGCUGUGCUGCAGAGUCACCUCUGCUCCUCCUGGAGCCAGAGGCAGCUCAGGGUAAUCAGCACAUGCAGAAAUACGCUCUGACUGUGGAAGCCUGGUAAGAGCGCAGUUUAAUUUCACUGUGGUAUGCAGCACUCCAAGAAAACUCCCAGACUCAGUUCUUUUCCUUCAAGCACAAUCCCUUAUCAAGGUCCUUGGCAGCAAUUCACAUACAGAAAGGAGCAGCUGUCAUGGUAUUCCCACAUACAAACACAAAAAAACAACCCCUCCCUGCUUUCAGUGCAGCAAUGUUACGUAGUAUGAAUAAUUACAAUAUUUAACACUUGUAUCUGUGCUUUUAAUCUUCAAAGCACUUAACGAGCACUAGGUACAGGUAAUUGUAGCUGCAGAGUGAUGUGACUGUCUGCAAGAAGAGAAGAAUUGGGUGCAUGAGUGCUCCAGUGGUCCUGUGCAGGGUGGGCACAGAGCAAAUGGGGCAGUAAAGGCCCAAUGACAUGAAAUCCCUUGGCUGUCAGGGUUGAUUUUUUCCUUUGAAUGGUGGCUAUCCCUCUGCCACAGGUCAGUGACUUCUCAGGUCUGUUGGUGGAAUCACUCACCUUCUGGUUUCCCAACCCACCUUAGUCCCAAUGAACUUGGUUAGGAAAGACCUAUAUAGCAAACCAUGUUUGCUGACCUGGCGUGUUCUCACGUCAGGAUGAGAGAGUGCUUGGAUGAGCAGCUCAGCCAUCAAACCUGGGAAAAUGGAACUCCUGGCAGAAAAGAAGAUGACUGUGGAGGGAAGGUGACUGGGACUUGCAGGAGGCCUAUAGGAGGCUGGCAAUGGUGGCAGCUGGCACAGGAGAUAACAGCUGAAAAUGUUAAACAAACCAGAGCUCUGUCAAGACCCUGCUAGACAAUUCAUCCAAACACAUCAUCUUACAACUCUGAUAAAAGGAUCUGUUGGAUUUUCUUUUAGAUGAGAUAGUUCAUUUGUAUUUGCUGCAUGUUAAUGUGAGUGGGAAGCAUUGAGAUCUAAACAAGUUAGAUGAAUCAUUCCAAUAAAGCUAUUUUCAAGAAAGAGCA
RNAcentral lists this long non-coding RNA (1299 nucleotides) under Junco hyemalis (dark-eyed junco). RNAcentral's name for it is "lncRNA (ENSJHYG00000001919.1)". The record is from RNAcentral. Lineage: Eukaryota; Metazoa; Chordata; Aves; Passeriformes; Passerellidae.